CAGCCGCCGCGGUAAUACGGAGGGUGCAAGCGUUAUCCGGAUUUAUUGGGUUUAAAGGGUCCGUAGGCGGACUUAUAAGUCAGUGGUGAAAGCCUGUCGCUUAACGAUAGAACUGCCAUUGAUACUGUAAGUCUUGAGUAUAUUUGAGGUAGCUGGAAUAAGUAGUGUAGCGGUGAAAUGCAUAGAUAUUACUUAGAACACCAAUUGCGAAGGCAGGUUACCAAGAUAUAACUGACGCUGAGGGACGAAAGCGUGGGUAGCGAACAGGAUUAGAUACCCGAGUAGUCCCUGUCUCUUAUAC
This 301-nucleotide ribosomal RNA is filed under the name uncultured bacterium. RNAcentral describes it as "partial 16S ribosomal RNA". It matches the Rfam family "Bacterial small subunit ribosomal RNA", at positions 509 to 807 of the family's 1533-position model. The record is from RNAcentral.